This is a microRNA precursor of Human herpesvirus 2 strain HG52, 77 nucleotides long. It matches the Rfam family "mir-H20 microRNA precursor family". The record is from Rfam. Lineage: Duplodnaviria; Heunggongvirae; Peploviricota; Herviviricetes; Herpesvirales; Orthoherpesviridae.
ACAGGGGGGGAGACGAGGGGUCGGAAUCCAAAGGACGCAGACCACCUUUGGUUACGGACCCCUUUCUCCCCCCCUUC